UGCAUCGGCGUUGGAUUAGGCCAGCAUCGAUUGUUUGGAGGAGGUAACAACCAUUGUUCCUUCCCGAUCUCUGUCCCUGUUCGUCGGCAAGAACAAGUCGUUGCCCUAACUUCGAUCUUGGAGAGACUGGUAUUUUGGUCCCGGCCACCACAGCUCUGUUGGAUCGAUCUCUUCUUCGUAUCAGUGAUCAUCUCCGGUGAUUGAAGGGUGCAGAGAGGAUGCGAUGUGCUUAUUUUAGAUACUGGAUUGGGAAGUGCAGAGAAUCAAGCAAGGGUCAAGGAGUUGCUUCAUGUGGAGGAAUCAAAACUAGAGGAGGAUGAGGGAAAUACCACUCCAGCAGUGAGAUGGGUUCGAGAUGAUAAAUAUGAUUGCAUCCGAUUAAAGCAUUGCAAGGUUGUGACAAAAAUUGAUUGGCAUCGGAAAGGAGACUAUUUCACUACUGUCGUUCCUAGUGAUAUCCUAAUUAUGAAUUUUAGUUGUACUUAUUUUUAGUCAUUCCUAGUGCCUAUUUUAUAUCUCAGUUUUGUUUCUUUCUUUUUUCUAAUACACACUGACAAAUUGGAAAUAUAUAAAAAUCAUGACAUUAUACCUAGUUACCUAGCCUUUGAGGCUGGAAUCAGGAUGAAACCUAAAGUGCCCUGAAAAGUUUAGGCAUACCAAAUUCUCUCAGUUUAAUGACAGAGGUGUUUUAGAUUGUAAAUUUCAUCCGAGGCAGCCAUGGCUAUUCACAGCUGGAGCAGAUUCUGUCAUUAAACUGUAUUGCCACUAAUGAUAGAUUCUCCAGGAAACUUUGAAGAAUCUCCUCGAGUCAAGAUACCUUCAAGAUAUCAAACUCUACACCUUCUAUAUGGAGCUAGAUUUGCAAAAGUCAUAUCCAACUCGAGGAAGUGACUUAUUGACAUGGGAGAGAACUUAUUGGUAACCAAGGACUUUGUGAAGAUAGCAAAUUUUGGCCUUGCUCGUGAAGUUCAUUCGAAGCCACCAUUCACAGAAUAGGUUUCAACACGCUGUUUACAAAUCUCAAGUACUCCAGAGUUGAAAUUGAUGAAGUGCAGUUCGAGUGGGCUG
Long non-coding RNA from Zingiber officinale, 1068 nucleotides. RefSeq lists it as uncharacterized. The record is from RefSeq and is a predicted model, not a curated record. NCBI's taxonomy places the organism in Eukaryota, Viridiplantae, Streptophyta, Magnoliopsida, Zingiberales, Zingiberaceae. The transcript has 9 exons.